GAUAUGGAGCUGGGUGGGAGAGAGGGAGAUGGAGCUGGAUGGGAAAGUGGGAGAUAGAGCUGGGUGUGAGAGAGGGAUUUGGAGCUUGGUGGGAAAGAGAGAGAGAGAUGGAGCUGGGUGGGAGAGAUAGAUGGAACUUAAAGGUUUGAUGCGGAAGGAGGGGAGAGAGAAUGAUGGAGCUGAGGGGGAGGUGAAGCUUGCUGGGUGAGAGGGGAGGAUGGAGCUAGGGGGAAAGAGGGAGAUGGAGUUGUGUAUGAGAGAGGAAGGUGGAGGGGAGAAAGUGAUAUAGAGCUCAGGGGGGAGAAGUGAAGAUGGAGCUGGAUGGGAGAGAGGAAGAUGAAGGUGUGAGAGGGAGUUGGGGGAGAAAGGGAGACACUGCAUGUAAGGAGAGGGUUCAGGGCAGCAGGACCAUCAUCAGAAGGAUACAGCCCAUAAUCUGAUAAGGGGAAUAGUCAUGCUUUAGGAUCAGCAAGGGUCCCUGUAAUGUUAAGUGGUUCGGCUGGGCACCUCAUUGCGGAAUCGGGUGAUGGUACAGACCCUUUACAAGGUGCAGCCUCUCCACAUGCACGGCCGCACUGAAAGGAAGUGAGGUCCAAUAUAUUUCUCCAAGUGCUCAAAAAUGGUCUUUUCUUCUUUUUUAAAUGAACCGAUAGACAGUUAAAGAAAUAGACAGAAAAAUAGCUAGCUAGUUAACCUUAAAGGUGAGACACACCGAAAGACCAAGUGCACAGAGAUUCAGUCACCGUCUCUCGCAGUGAUUUUGUUCCCAU
Non-coding RNA from Pelobates cultripes (western spadefoot toad), 770 nucleotides. Lineage: Eukaryota; Metazoa; Chordata; Amphibia; Anura; Pelobatidae. The record is from the annotation of a GenBank genome assembly.